Molecule: long non-coding RNA, 1020 nt
Filed under: Coturnix japonica (Japanese quail)
Lineage: Eukaryota; Metazoa; Chordata; Aves; Galliformes; Phasianidae
Description: lncRNA (ENSCJPG00005002860.1)
Source: RNAcentral
AAAGGGGACAUGUGGGGGGGGGGCACACAAAGGGGAUAUGUGGGGUGGGGGUCCCGUGUGGGUCCCAGCCCCAAAUCCUAUUGAGAGGCCCCCAGGUGCAAAGUGUGGGGCGGACAUACAGCAGACGGGGGCCCCCCCCCCCCAACAGACGGGGCUGUGCCCUCAUCCUCAUCCUCAUCCUCAUCCUCAUCCUCAUCCUCAUCCUCGGCACUGGCUGCAUGGGAUGCUGCUGUUGCAUGCGGCGCUGCUGCAGGGGAUGGGGGGAGCAGAGGGAUGCAGGGGAUAGAGGGGCAUGGAGCUGCAGGGCUGCAGAGACCAAGGGCUGCAGGGAUGCAUUGCCAACAUGGAUACGGGGAUAUGGGGCUGCAGGGAUGCAGAGCUGCACAGGACCCAGGGCUGCAGGGAUCCAAAGCUGCAGGGGUGCAGAGAUGCAGAGCUGGUGGGGACCCAGGGAUACAGGGGAUGCAGGGAUCCCAGGCUGCAGGGAUGCAGAGCUGGAAGGGAUGCAGGGAUGCAGGGGAUGCAGGGAUCCCAGGCUGCAGGGAUGCAGGGAUUCAGGACGUGGAGAUGCAGAGACUCGAUGCCGCAGGGCUGCAGACCCAGCCGGGAUCCAGGGCCGCCCCGUCCGUCUUAUCCCCAUACAGACACACGGUGUCGGGGGGGGGUCCCCUCCCAAACCCCUCCCAGACCCCUCCCCCUCCAUCAGACCCCCCCCCCCAUUCCCCAUAGACCCCCCGGGGGUCUCCUGUGUCUGGUCCCGCACCGCCUGCGCCCAGCCCGGCAGGUUGAUGCGCUGAUCGUCCAUGAUGAGCAGCCGGGCUCCGUGUCCGCUGCGCUGCAGCGCCGGCCCCAGGUCCAGGGCGAUAAAAUCCCGCUGUUGUUCCGCCGUAAAAGCGACGGUGGGAAACAGCGGGUGGGCGAACAGCGCCGCGAGGGGCUCGUUCUGAGCCGUCAGAGCCCAGAAAGACACGUUGUGUCUGAGGUACGAGUCCAGGAACCUGCCGCGGGGCGGGGGGACAA